CGGUAAUUUAGUUGGUUAUUCUAACGUUAUCAGUUAGUUAGCUACCUUAGCGGCGCUGCAUGGGGUGCAAGGGGUCGAGUGUUCGAAUCACUCCGUCCCGACCA
RNAcentral lists this transfer RNA (104 nucleotides) under Pseudomonas syringae group sp. J309-1. Its description in RNAcentral is "tRNA-Pro". Lineage: Bacteria; Pseudomonadati; Pseudomonadota; Gammaproteobacteria; Pseudomonadales; Pseudomonadaceae. The record is from RNAcentral.